This 497-nucleotide ribosomal RNA is filed under the name uncultured bacterium. RNAcentral's name for it is "partial 16S ribosomal RNA". It matches the Rfam family "Bacterial small subunit ribosomal RNA", at positions 28 to 507 of the family's 1533-position model. The record is from RNAcentral.
GAUGAGCGCUGGCGGCGUGCCUAAUACAUGCAAGUCGAGCGAACGGACGAGAAGCUUGCUUCUCUGAUGUUAGCGGCGGACGGGUGAGUAACACGUGGAUAACCUACCUAUAAGACUGGGAUAACUUCGGGAAACCGGAGCUAAUACCGGAUAAUAUUUUGAACCGCAUGGUUCAAAAGUGAAAGACGGUCUUGCUGUCACUUAUAGAUGGAUCCGCGCUGCAUUAGCUAGUUGGUAAGGUGACGGCUUACCAAGGCAACGAUGCAUAGCCGACCUGAGAGGGUGAUCGGCCACACUGGAACUGAGACACGGUCCAGACUCCUACGGGAGGCAGCAGUAGGGAAUCUUCCGCAAUGGGCGAAAGCCUGACGGAGCAACGCCGCGUGAGUGAUGAAGGUCUUCGGAUCGUAAAACUCUGUUAUUAGGGAAGAACAUAUGUGUAAGUAACUGUGCACAUCUUGACGGUACCUAAUCAGAAAGCCACGGCUAACUACGUG